GAUGAAGAACGUAGCGAAAUGCGAUACGUAAUGUGAAUUGCAGAAUUCAGUGAAUCAUCGAGUCUUUGAACGCACAUUGCGCCCCCUGGUAUUCCGGGGGGCAUGCCUGUCCGAGCGUCAUUGCUGCCCUCAAGCACGGCUUGUGUGUUGGGCCUCCGUCCUCCUCCCGGGGGACGGGCCCGAAAGGCAGCGGCGGCACCGCGUCCGGUCCUCGAGCGUAUGGGGCUUCGUCACCCGCUCUUGUAGGCCCGGCCGGCGCUUGCCGACACAUCAAUCUUUUUUCCAGGUUGACCUCGGAUCAGGUAGGGAUACCCGCUGAAUUUAAGCAUAUCAAUAAGCGGAGGA
This 345-nucleotide unclassified non-coding RNA is filed under the name soil metagenome. RNAcentral describes it as "partial contains 5.8S ribosomal RNA, internal transcribed spacer 2, and large subunit ribosomal RNA". The stretch from base 1 to 120 matches the Rfam family "5.8S ribosomal RNA", at positions 35 to 154 of the family's 154-position model. The record is from RNAcentral.